This 70-nucleotide transfer RNA is filed under the name Cavia porcellus (domestic guinea pig). It matches the Rfam family "tRNA". Rfam says of the family: Transfer RNA (tRNA) molecules are approximately 80 nucleotides in length. Their secondary structure includes four short double-helical elements and three loops (D, anti-codon, and T loops). Lineage: Eukaryota; Metazoa; Chordata; Mammalia; Rodentia; Caviidae. The record is from Rfam by way of RNAcentral.
AGGACUAAAGCUCAAUGGCACAGUGCCUGCCUACCAAGCAUGGGGUCCUGAGUUCGAUUCCCAGUACCUG